UUUCCGUAGGUGAACCUGCGGAAGGAUCAUUGUCGAAACCUGCAUAGCAGAACAACUUGUGAACAUGUAGUUACAAUUUGGGGAGGAGGAGCGCAUGCUUGUUCUCCCCGUUGUCAAGACGUACUCGGUAACAUGCCGCCCUUUAGUGCUUUGCGUUAGGGGAGGCAUUAUUUGGGUGCUCUUGACUUAACAACGAACCCCGGCGUGAAUUGCGCCAAGGAAUUUAAAGAAAGAGCAUUCCUCCAUUGCUGCUCUAUGCGGACAAUUGGAGGAGGUGUUAUCUUCUUGAUGUCUUUAAUGACUCUCGGCAACGGAUAUCUCGGCUCUCGCAUCGAUGAAGAACGUAGCGAAAUGCGAUACUUGGUGUGAAUUGCAGAAUCCCGUGAACCAUCGAGUCUUUGAACGCAAGUUGCGCCCGAAGCCAUUUGGUUGAGGGCACGUCUGCCUGGGCGUCACGUUAACACAUCUCCCACAAACCCUUCCCCAUGUCUUGGGGCAAGGAUUUUGUGGCGAGAAGAAUUGGCCUCCCGUGUAACAUUGGCGCGGUUGACCUAAAAAAGAGUGCCGAGUGAUGAAAUGUCACGAUAAGUGGUGGUUUAUAAUCCUAAUGUGAUUUUGCCGAAUCGAGUCGUGAUCAUUUGUCACUUCAGAUAUGCUCAAGUGAACCCCAUACGUCUAGCUGACGCUAUUGUCGCGACCCCAGUCAGGCGGGAAUACCCGCUGAGUUUAA
This 730-nucleotide ribosomal RNA is filed under the name Bergenia purpurascens. RNAcentral describes it as "eukaryotic LSU rRNA". The stretch from base 300 to 455 matches the Rfam family "5.8S ribosomal RNA". The record is from RNAcentral. Lineage: Eukaryota; Viridiplantae; Streptophyta; Magnoliopsida; Saxifragales; Saxifragaceae.